RNAcentral lists this non-coding RNA (21 nucleotides) under Caenorhabditis elegans. Lineage: Eukaryota; Metazoa; Nematoda; Chromadorea; Rhabditida; Rhabditidae. The record is from RNAcentral.
UCCACAGAGAAAGAAAAAACU